GAAUUCCGGGUAGACUACCAGACUUGGGACCGGUUGAGGGAGAGGGUACUUCAGGGGUAGGGGUGAAAUCCUGUAAUCCCUGAAGGACCACCAGUGGCGAAGGCGCUCUCCUAGAACGGGUCCGACGGUGAGGGACGAAAGCCAGGGGAGCAAACCGGAUUAGAUACCCGGGUAGUCCUGGCCGUAAACGAUGCGGGCUUUGCAUUGGGGGUCCUACGAGGGCGCUCAGUGCCGAAGCGAAGGCGUUAAGCCCGCCGCCUGGGAAGUAUGGUCGCAAGGCUGAAACUU
Molecule: ribosomal RNA, 288 nt
Filed under: uncultured archaeon
Lineage: Archaea
Description: partial 16S ribosomal RNA
Rfam family: Archaeal small subunit ribosomal RNA
Source: RNAcentral